Trichonephila inaurata madagascariensis is the source of this 73-nucleotide non-coding RNA. The record is from the annotation of a GenBank genome assembly. Lineage: Eukaryota; Metazoa; Arthropoda; Arachnida; Araneae; Nephilidae.
AUCCCUGUAGUGCGAUGGAUAGCACGUUGGACUUCGAAUUCAAAGGUCGUACGUUCGUAUCCUAACUGGGAUG